CAACCCUCAGCACCCCUUCGGGGGAGCUGGUGCUGGGGAUCAGCCAAAGCCGCAUGGCGGCCGGCUGGCCCCGAAAUACAGUGGCGGUCUCGCUGUAGCCCCCUUGCGUAGUAACUAACCUCGCACCGGAGCAUGACGUGACCACGCCGUAAAACCCCCAUAUUUUACCAAU
Molecule: unclassified non-coding RNA, 172 nt
Filed under: uncultured fungus
Lineage: Eukaryota; Fungi
Description: sequence contains ITS2
Source: RNAcentral